This 258-nucleotide ribosomal RNA is filed under the name uncultured bacterium. RNAcentral describes it as "partial 16S ribosomal RNA". It matches the Rfam family "Bacterial small subunit ribosomal RNA", at positions 524 to 776 of the family's 1533-position model. The record is from RNAcentral.
UACGAAGGGGGCUAGCGUUGUUCGGAAUUACUGGGCGUAAAGCGCGCGCAGGCGGUCUUCCAAGUCAGUGGUGAAAGCCCGGAGCUCAACUCCGGAACUGCCAUUGAAACUGUUAGACUUGAGGAUGAGAGAGGUGAGUGGAAUUCCCAGUGUAGAGGUGAAAAUUCGUAGAUAUUGGGAAGAACACCGGUGGCGAAGGCGGCUCACUGGCUCAUUACUGACGCUCAUGCACAAAAAGCGUGGGGGGAGCAAAACAGG